Girardinichthys multiradiatus is the source of this 806-nucleotide long non-coding RNA. RefSeq lists it as uncharacterized. NCBI's taxonomy places the organism in Eukaryota, Metazoa, Chordata, Actinopteri, Cyprinodontiformes, Goodeidae. The transcript is spliced from 2 exons. The record is from RefSeq and is a predicted model, not a curated record.
CGCCGACAGUCCCUUUAAUGCCGAGCUAAGCUGGGAGCAAGACAAAAACAUAAAGAAAGGAAGGAUCCAGUUUGGCCGCUGUUACCCUGGUCUGUCAGAAGGAGCUUUAAACUUCAUGAAGAGCAGCCUGAAUAACAAAUCCUGGGCGAGACCCACUGCGGCUGAGUGUCUCCAGAACUCGUGGCUACGCGCCCAUCGCGCUCCGCGCAAGGUCCGACCCUCUAAGGUGUGCUUCUCCACUGACAAGCUCAGAGCUUACCUCAAGCAGAAAGAGGAGAAACGAGAUCAAGUGUGCACAAAGCAUCAGGGUCCAUUCUUCCAGUGAGGUAAAAAACCUAAUAAACAAAACUUUUCUGAACAAAAAACUUUAUUGCUAUUUUUGCUAUUAUAUAUUUUUUUCUGUUAAAUAAAACCCAAGUUAGCUUCAUAAAAUGAUAUAGCCUGAUUUUAAAUGUGUCUUAAUGAGUCUCGGUUUGUGAAAUCUAUUUUGAUUCGGUUUUGAUGAAAACAUAUCAGGGAUUUGUAAGGACUGCACGUUGAUACAUGAGUUGUGAGGUUGUGGUUGUCUCAUAAAGAGAUUCGCUGUGCUUCUCUGCUAAAGUAUGAAUUAGAUGCACAUGCUUGGUCUUACAUUUAAAAUGUUUUUUGUGUUUUAAUUAAAACAAAUAUAUUUCAGAAAUAUUUUCAAAACUUCAUUACUCAUACGUUUUCAAUGAAUGAAAAGUAAAUAGAUAAACUAUGUUAUUUUGGAUGACAUCAUGUCUUGAAGUGAAUGGAAAAAAUGUAAUAAAUGAUGCUAGAAGUGC